This 422-nucleotide ribosomal RNA is filed under the name uncultured Bacteroidales bacterium. RNAcentral's name for it is "partial 16S ribosomal RNA". It matches the Rfam family "Bacterial small subunit ribosomal RNA", at positions 355 to 774 of the family's 1533-position model. Lineage: Bacteria; Pseudomonadati; Bacteroidota; Bacteroidia; Bacteroidales. The record is from RNAcentral.
UGAGGAAUAUUGGUCAAUGGGCGAGAGCCUGAACCAGCCAUGUCGCGUGCAGGAUGACUGCCCUAUGGGUUGUAAACUGCUUUUGUAUGGGAAGAAAAAGUUCUACGUGUAGAACCUUGCCGGUACCAUACGAAUAAGGAUCGGCUAACUCCGUGCCAGCAGCCGCGGUAAUACGGAGGAUCCAAGCGUUAUCCGGAUUUAUUGGGUUUAAAGGGUGCGUAGGCGGGACUUUAAGUCAGUGGUGAAAGUUUGCCGCUUAACGGUAAAAUUGCCAUUGAUACUGAAGUUCUUGAGUACAGAUGAAGUAGGCGGAAUGAGGAGUGUAGCGGUGAAAUGCGUAGAUAUUCCUCAGAACACCGAUUGCGAAGGCAGCUUACUAAGGUGUCACUGACGCUGAUGCACGAAAGCGUGGGGAUCAAACA